This 68-nucleotide transfer RNA is filed under the name Weissella confusa. It matches the Rfam family "tRNA". Rfam says of the family: Transfer RNA (tRNA) molecules are approximately 80 nucleotides in length. Their secondary structure includes four short double-helical elements and three loops (D, anti-codon, and T loops). RNAcentral also lists the same sequence under 1 other name. The record is from RNAcentral. Lineage: Bacteria; Bacillati; Bacillota; Bacilli; Lactobacillales; Lactobacillaceae.
GAAUAUAGUUCAGUUGGUAGAACGCUACCUUGCCAUGGUAGAGGUCGCGGGUUCGAAUCCCGUUGUUC